GGACCUGUCUUAAACAUGUUACUUACAAAUGAAAUACACCAGGAAAAACAGAUUUUGAUUUAAUAGAAACAGAGAAAAAACAAGAUUGUGCUGAUCUAUAAUAAAAGCAGAAGACACACAAGAGAAGAAUGUGAAAGCAGAUAAACAAGCUGGAAAGGAAUUGUGCCUGGAAAAAUACAGCAGCCUGUGACAGGUGAAACUUUAAGAAAAAUUUGGCGGUCAGAGCUUCUCUCCUUAAAAGAAGCCAUGAGCCUGUGGUUCCAGAAUAUACUUCCAUGACGUGUGUGGAAUGAGGAUGGUGAUAUAAUAGGAUUGGGGGACUUGGAGGGCCGUGGGACUACUGGCAAAUAUAGUGGAAAGCCAAGUAUCAAUGAUGUAAUACUGUCUUCCCUGUGACAUCACCAAAAUGUAAGUACAUUUCCUAAACACUACAAAAGGCCAAACUGAUUUAUUCUUUGGAAGGGGAUAAGGGACAUAACUCAGCACUGGAUCUAAUCCAAAACUGGGUACCCCCUAAAUAUUAUCCUGAAAGUAACUACAAAUUCUGGGGGGACAAAUCUAAACAACAACCACAAGAGGACUCCAGUGACUGAACCAAAGCAGGCAGAAUUUGGACAUGAGGAAAAUGCUGAAAAUUAUGAACACUCACUGAAGCAGGACUGUUCCACACAAUGACCUGAUGAAUUCUGAGCCUUAUCUAAGAAGUUGUUUAUAAACUUUAUGCUGUUCCCUGAAGAGAGAAGAGCUAACAGCAUGAUGAUCGAAAUUAAAUUUUUAAGAAUGGAGAUAGCAUUUUUAAUCAUGGGGAAAUUGCCAUCUCAGUAUUCUUAAAAGAUGUUCAAUAUUUAAAUACGAGCAUUUCAAGAUCUAAUGAAGCAUAUGCAAUAUUUAAUUGAAUCAUAAUUUUCCUUUAGAAAACAGGGAGCUUCUCACAUAUACAUUUUCAUUAAUUGUAUAGUAGUUCUCAAGAUUUAUCUUAACAAAACAAAUUAAUCUUAACAAAACAAUUAAGAAGGAACCAUUGGUCUUUAGUUAUUCAAAAUCUGAGUGGAACUGACCACCGAGCUCUGCACUGGUAAUGCAGUCAGAAUCAGUAUUUGAGUAAGGCAAUUGUAUCUCAAUACAUGACGUAUGUGGAUAAUUCACAUUAGUACAAUAUUAAAAAGACUCUUUGUUUCUGGUAAA
Long non-coding RNA from Felis catus (domestic cat), 1185 nucleotides. RefSeq lists it as uncharacterized. Lineage: Eukaryota; Metazoa; Chordata; Mammalia; Carnivora; Felidae. The transcript has 3 exons. The record is from RefSeq and is a predicted model, not a curated record.